This 253-nucleotide ribosomal RNA is filed under the name uncultured bacterium. Its description in RNAcentral is "partial 16S ribosomal RNA". It matches the Rfam family "Bacterial small subunit ribosomal RNA", at positions 524 to 776 of the family's 1533-position model. The record is from RNAcentral.
UACGUAGGGUGCAAGCGUUAAUCGGAAUUACUGGGCGUAAAGCGUGCGCAGGCGGCUUUGCAAGACAGAUGUGAAAUCCCCGGGCUUAACUUGGGAACUGCAUUUGGGACUGCAAGGCUAGAGUACGGCAGAGGGGGGUAGAAUUCCUGGUGUAGCAGUGAAAUGCGUAGAUAUCAGGAGGAAUACCGAUGGCGAAGGCAGCCCCCUGGGUCGAUACUGACGCUCAUGCACGAAAGCGUGGGGAGCAAACAGG